This 468-nucleotide ribosomal RNA is filed under the name uncultured bacterium. RNAcentral's name for it is "partial 16S ribosomal RNA". It matches the Rfam family "Bacterial small subunit ribosomal RNA", at positions 28 to 507 of the family's 1533-position model. The record is from RNAcentral.
GACGAACGCUGGCGGCGUGCUUAACACAUGCAAGUUGAACGGAAAGGCCCUGCUUUUGUGGGGUGCUCGAGUGGCGAACGGGUGAGUAACACGUGAGUAACCUGCCCUUGACUUUGGGAUAACUUCAGGAAACUGGGGCUAAUACCGGAUAGGAGCUCCUGCUGCAUGGUGGGGGUUGGAAAGUUUCGGCGGUUGAGGAUGGACUCGCGGCUUAUCAGCUUGUUGGUGGGGUAGUGGCUUACCAAGGCUUUGACGGGUAGCCGGCCUGAGAGGGUGACCGGCCACAUUGGGACUGAGAUACGGCCCAGACUCCUACGGGAGGCAGCAGUGGGGAAUAUUGCACAAUGGGCGGAAGCCUGAUGCAGCAACGCCGCGUGCGGGAUGACGGCCUUCGGGUUGUAAACCGCUUUCGCCUGUGACGAAGCGUGAGUGACGGUAAUGGGUAAAGAAGCACCGGCUAACUACGUG